UAAACAAUAGGUUUGGUCCUGGCCUUUUUACUAGUUGUUUGCAGGGUUAUACAUACAAAAAUCCCUAUGCCCUCUGUGAGAAUGCCCUCUGUGCUACAUCCAGGUUAAAAGGAGCAGGUAUCAAGCACACUACAAAGUAGCUCACAACGCCUUGCUUUGCCACACCCCACAGGAAACAGCAGUAAUAAAAAUUAAGCAAUAAACGAAAGUUUGACUAAGUCACGCAACUAUUAGGGUUGAUAAAUUUCGUGCCAGCCACUGUGGUCAUACGAUUAACCCAAAUUAAUAAAAUCUGGCGUAAAAAUUUUUAGAAAUAUAAAAAAUAAGACUAAGCUUUAUCCAAGUCAUAGAAAACUCCAGAUAAAGUAUAAACCAAAAACGAAAGUAAUCUUAGUAAGUCUGAACACACGAAAGCUAAGGCCCAAACUGGGAGUAGAUACCCUACUAUGCUUAACCGUAAACAUAAAAACUUGCAUAACAGGGGCUGGGGAUUUGGUUCAGCGGCAUAAGCGCCUGCCUUGCAAGCGUGUGGUCAUGACUUCGAUCCCUGGUACCGGUAAAAACACAAAAAAAUUUAAAAAAAAAAACUUGCAUAACAAAAGUUUUCGCCUGAGAACUAUUAGCAAUAGCUUAAAACUCAAAGGACUUGGUGGUGCUUUAUAACCACCUAGAGGAGCCUGUUCUAUAAUCGAUAAACCCCGAUACACCUCACCACCCCUUGCUAAUUCAGCCUAUAUACCAUACCACCAUCUUCAGCAAACCCAAUUAUGGAAACAAAGUAAGCACAAGUAUAUUACAUAAAAAUGUAGGUCAAGGUGUAGCCAAUGGAGAGGGAAGAAAUGGGUUACAUUUUCUUACUGAAGAACAGCAGUCGCAAGUCUUUAUGAAAUUUAAGCACCUAAGGAGGAUUUAGUAGUAAACCAAUAAUAGAGAGCUUGGUUGAACUAGGCCAUGAAGCACGUACACACACCUGUCACCCUCCUCAAGUACCCAAAAAUUUUCAAUACAAAACUAAUAUAUAUAAGAGGAGACAAGUUGUAACAAGGUAAGCAUACUGCAAAGUGUGCUUGGAAACAAAGUGUA
RNAcentral lists this non-coding RNA (1083 nucleotides) under Cavia porcellus (domestic guinea pig). The record is from Rfam by way of RNAcentral. Lineage: Eukaryota; Metazoa; Chordata; Mammalia; Rodentia; Caviidae.